Long non-coding RNA from Musa acuminata AAA Group (dessert banana), 1706 nucleotides. RefSeq lists it as uncharacterized. The record is from RefSeq and is a predicted model, not a curated record. NCBI's taxonomy places the organism in Eukaryota, Viridiplantae, Streptophyta, Magnoliopsida, Zingiberales, Musaceae. The transcript has 4 exons.
UCUAUUUAAGACCGGUACUCCAUCACUGUGGUUCGUCUACCACUGGCCCGCUCGAGUCCAGGUUACCUAAAACACACGACACGCCAUUCCCAAACGAUCUACUUUUUCGUUCAUCUCUCUUUCGCCCUCUGCUUCAAGCGCUGCUCAUAGCUCCAAUCUGCCAGCGUCGAGAACUAUUCCGUUGUGUGCAAUGACAAAAUCCUACCAUAACCAAGAGAAUGCUGAAGAGGGAGGAAUGGAGCAGGCGAUUGGAACGGGUCCCGUCCUUGCCUCUCCAGUCACCUGCUGUCCCUGCGGCACUGGUAAUAUCAGAUACAGCAAGCAUCCUUCACCAUUUCGGAUGCACUAAACAUUGUACAAAUGACAACCCUCUUACCCAUACACAACAGUAGGUCCAAACAGUGAUGGGCCUAAUGGCUAGAAAGAUCUGCAGAGAUAUAUCUCAGGUGAAGCAACAAUCACAUACACAGGCAGAACAAAGCCUCAACAGAGAUGUCUCAGAUAAAGCAGCAACAGUCUAAAGUCCAAUGACAAGAAACCAAGCAAUCCAUGGCUACCAAAGCCUCUGGAGAUGUCUCAGACUCGAUACAUUCAAAGCACAAAAGUAAACAACAUUCAACACUCCAAAACACUGGGAGAGAGAGUGAGAAUUCAUCUGAACUCCUCUCCUCCCAUGGACCUGAUUCCCGCACUUGAGAUCUUACAGAGAUGGCUGCAGCUGCUCUCGGAAAACCCUCAGCAUGUCGGCAAACGUGACGAUGCCGAUGAGGCUAUAGUCGUCUUCGUCGACGACCCACAGAUAGCUAACCCGGUGCGCCAGCGCCUGGACCAUCACGGCCACCAGCGAGUUCCCGGGGUGGCACACCUCCGGCUCCUCCGAUCUCCUCCCCAUGGAGAAGCUCCUCGACCUCAGCCUCCUCGGCAGCCUUCCCCCGCAUGACUCCUCGUCGGAUGAGGAGGAGGAGGAGGCCGACGGCGACGAGGACGAGUGGGAGAACGAGGACAACACGUCUUCCAUUAGUUCAAGCAUCUCCUGCAACCCCUUCUCCUUCAGUCCUUCUCUAAUUGCGCGGACGAGGGACUCCGGUGGCGAGCCAUAGUAGUCGACAAAGGCCAUGAGGUCGCCUGCCGUGAGGGUUGCGACGCCGGCAGCCAAGGUCACGGCCAUGAGGUCGCAGGCAGAAAGAGCCAAGGGGGAGAUCUCGCCCAGCAGUCGGCCGUCGUCGGUGACAACGGCCACCGCGGCCUGUUCGGAGAGAGCGCGGCGGAGGACAGGGAGGAGGGCGAGUCCGGGCUCGUCGUGGCGGACGGUGAGGGCGGUGGCGGAGCGGACGAGGCCGACGGCAUCGAUGGAGAGCGUGGCAAUGGGGGAGAAGACGGCGAUGGAGUUAAGGAAGUAGCGGACGAAGUCCUCAUGUGUCAGCCAGCAGUAUUCGACGGUGGCCCCGCCACCGCCGUGGUGGAGCUUCUUCCGGCCGACGGAGCCAAUGGGGACCACAAGGUUCUGCGCUCCGUCGAGGAUCAAAUCGAGAGCUUCCAAUACGCUGCGAAUGGAAUUCCCCAAAAAGGAAGGAGGUUGAUUCAAGAAGGCGUUUUGAGAGGGACAAAAGGGUACCUGAACUGCCGCUCAACGCGGCGGACGAGGCCGGCGCCCUUGGAAAGGAGGACGGAGACGGGCCGCUCGAGCGCAACGGUCGGCGACUCGA